AAAGACUUUACUGCUGGGGCUUCCUCCUCACUGGGGAAUUGCCGGAAAGAGCAAACAAAAAAGGCGCUGGUGUAGGCUCCAAAAUAAACAUCUGAAUUCAUGAUGGCAUCGACAGAGGCUCUUAUUGGAUUAAAAGUUUCAAAACAAACAAUAACGCUUUGGAAAAAGGGUUGAAUGCUUACCUGCACCCUCAGGCACGACCAUGGAGAAAGGUGGGAACAUACAGUUGGAGAUCCCUGACUUCAGCAACUCUGUCCUGAGCCAUCUAAACCAACUGCGCAUGCAGGGCCGUCUCUGUGAUAUUGUGGUCAAUGUGCAAGGACAAGCUUUUCGGGCUCACAAAGUGGUACUGGCUGCCAGCUCCCCCUAUUUCCGGGAUCACAUGUCCUUGAAUGAGAUGAGUACUGUCUCCAUUUCAGUCAUCAAGAACCCUUCUGUUUUUGAACAGCUCCUUUCUUUCUGUUAUACAGGGCGGAUAUGCCUGCAACUGGCAGAUAUCAUCAGCUACCUAACAGCUGCCAGUUUUCUGCAGAUGCAGCACAUUAUAGACAAAUGUACACAGAUCCUAGAGGGCAUUCAUUUCAAAAUUAAUGUGGCUGAGGUUGAAGCAGAAUUAAGUCAAACAAGGACAAAGCAUCAAGAGAGACCUCCAGAGUCUCACAGGGUUACACCAAAUCUCAACCGCUCCCUUAGCCCACGACACAAUACCCCAAAGGGAAAUCGGCGAGGUCAGGUUAGUGCUGUGCUGGAUAUCAGAGAGCUAAGUCCUCCUGAGGAGUCCACCAGCCCUCAAAUAAUCGAACAGAGUUCUGAUGUAGAGAGCCGGGAGCCCAUUCUUCGGAUCAACCGUGCAGGACAAUGGUAUGUGGAGACAGGAGUAGCAGACCGGGGGGGUCGGAGUGAUGAUGAAGUUAGGGUUCUUGGAGCAGUACACAUUAAAACUGAAAAUCUGGAGGAGUGGCUUGGGCCUGAGAAUCAGCCUUCUGGAGAAGAUGGGAGUAGUGCAGAGGAAGUCACAGCCAUGGUGAUUGAUACCACAGGCCAUGGUUCUGUAGGACAGGAAAAUUACACUUUAGGGUCUUCAGGAGCCAAGGUAGCUCGGCCAACAAGCAGUGAAGUUGACAGAUUUAGCCCCUCCGGCAGUGUUGUUCCCUUGACAGAGAGACACAGAGCCAGAAGUGAGUCUCCUGGGAGAAUGGAUGAGCCUAAGCAACCCAGCUCCCAGGUAGAAGAGUCAGCAAUGAUGGGAGUAAGUGGCUAUGUGGAGUAUCUUCGAGAGCAGGAAGUAUCUGAGCGAUGGUUCCGGUACAACCCUCGUCUUACCUGUAUCUACUGCGCCAAAUCUUUCAACCAAAAGGGAAGCCUGGAUCGCCACAUGCGCCUACAUAUGGGGAUCACACCAUUUGUCUGCCGCAUGUGUGGCAAGAAGUAUACCCGGAAAGAUCAACUGGAGUAUCAUAUCCGCAAGCACACAGGCAACAAGCCCUUUCAUUGUCACGUUUGUGGCAAAAGUUUUCCCUUCCAGGCCAUCUUGAAUCAGCACUUUCGCAAAAACCAUCCUGGCUGUAUACCCCUGGAGGGGCCUCACAGCAUCUCCCCUGAAACAACUGUCACAUCUCGAGGACAAGGUGAGGAAGAAUCGCCUUCACAGGAAGAGACAGUUGCUCCCGGGGAAACUGCCCAGGGCUCUGUGUCCACCACUGGGCCAGAUUGAAACAUCGAGGGAGAGGGAACAGACCCUCUUCCCCUUUGGACCAUAAGCAGCCAGCAUCAGGGCCAUGGGCUGGUACUUACAUUCACAAAAUGCCAUGUCACUAGACCAGAAGAUGCUCUCAAGAUGUUGCCAAACUAGAGGAUCAGUAACAUACACAAAAGCACUAAAGGCUCUACCCCUCCUCCUUCCCACCUCACACUUUGGAAAAUACUCAAGCAAAUCAACUUUUCUAAUUCAGGGAUCAACAGCCUUGGUUUGUUACCUUUAUAAGAAAAAAAAUUUUUUAACAAAACAAUGAUAAAUGGUCAUUUAUGUACCAGUCAUGUUUGAACACUGUACUUUGGUUCACAUCAUCUUGGUGGCUAUAAUUGCCAGAUCUUAAAAAAUACAUCAGGAGCCUCAACCAUCAGAAGCAGCCAGCCACAAGAGAGAAGGAGGUAUUCAAGAUGCUGGUGAGGAGGAGGAAUUUUUUCCUCUUCCUUCCCUGCCAGAACGUGCAUUUACAUUUCCAGAAAAAAACAAAUGAAUGCUGGUGAUUCUUACUGUUUUGAAAGCAUCACAAGUCUAAACCAUUUCAAGCCAAUAACAACAACCUGAGUGAGUAGAAGAAAUUCCUUAAGGUUUAGAUUUCUGCUUUUAGCCACAUCUUGAAGCAGAUGUUUAUGACAUAUUUGAAGAUGAUCUACUGAGUUUCCUAUAAAGUAAUAGAAUCCUAAACUUGUGGUUCUUUAAGAACCACUGAAAACAGAAUUGCAGUAUAGGGAACAAAGCUUAAAAUGUGUUUCCUCUGGAAGCCAAGAUCCUAACACAGAGGUCACGAAAGUGUGACUGAAAUCCACCUCUAGAAUGGCUGUCAGUUAGAUAGCAGAAAUGUUUAGAAUUUAUAUGGCAUUUCUAAUAUUUUUACAAAAAUAAUUUUAAAUCAUGUAACUUGAAUUUUUAAAAUAUGAGCCUGUUUUCUUUUUGGAAAACUGGCUCAAUAAAAUAACACUAAUAUAAUUCAAUUGUAUAUGCACGUGCAUUGAACAUAGUAGCAUACUAAAGAUAGUUCACGCAAAUAACUUUUGUGGAAAGUUUGGCUAUUUUUUCAUAUGUGUAUGUUUAUAAAUAUAUUUACUCAUCCACUGUGACCUUGGUAGCAUAGAAGCAUUUUGUUAGCUUUAUCAUUGAUUCUAAAAAUCAAAUUCUUGGCAUAAUAGGAUAGGAGAGCUUUUUGUUACUUUGUAUUUUUGGCUAAGAAAAUUACUUCUUGCACUUUCUAUUUAUAAAGAUGUUAUAACACAGUGCACCCACUUAGUGCAGCUGUUCUUUAGAGACAAAAGAUGUAGGUAUAAAAGUGAAAUAUGUGUUUAAAAACCUGGCAAAAGGAGGGACCUCAAAAAAACAAAUUUGGCUUGAGUCUACCUGAGAAGGGCUGGGGAUUAAUAUGAAAUUUAGGUUGAAAGUAGCUGUUGGGUAGGUGUACUGUUGCUGUGAAUUGCAAUAUUGAGUUGCCAGCUGUGUAUAUGUGAGUUUACGUGUGUAUGAGAGAGAAAGGUUUAUUUAAUGAAGGCAGAUAAGUCAAUGUAGAAUAUUCUACCUCCCACUAAAAACUGAGCAUAUUCAAGAUUGCCCCGUAACCCCCUGGGGAGAAGGCUGGAUUCCUUCGCCACUGUCCCAUAAGUGUCUAUACUCACUUCAGCUCCUCUACCUCAGAGCACAUGGCUGAAGAAAGAGUAUAGCUUUCUGUAGCAAGCAGAGGAAAGCCAGACCCAAAAUAUAGAGGCUGCAAUAUCUGAAAUUCUUCUUGUCACGUUCAGAUGUUAAUGUUUGAUUUUGUUGCCCAAAUCAAAUAGUGUCAGGACACUUGGGUUUAGUGCUUUUAUCCACAGGCUUCUGUUUGGCAAGAGUAGCCAGUGGAGGUGGAGUCUUUGUUUUAAAGAUGCACCCAACUCCUCCUUUUAAUGAUGUGAAACAUUUGUUUGAAUCCUCAGUUUCUUUUUUAAUUGCUAUUUGCAGUCCACUUCUGGGGGACUGGAAUACUAACUAUAUUUUCCUGAUAAUGAGCCUUCUGCCAAUCUUACAUGGAGGUAUGUGUGGCAUAGAUUUUCGAAUGACCUGUUAUGCUUUUAAUCACUCCAAAGAGAGAUAUUCUUGUUUUUAAUGCCAAUACUGUUGGGAUUCUCAAUAUGGCCUCACUUGAACAUUGUAAGUGUCAGAAAAUUCAGUUUCAAUUGUCAGAUGCCGCUAGGCAAACCACCUAAUCUUUAAAUCCAAUCGUAGCACUCAACUGAUUGCCUAUUUAGGGCACUAGUACACUGAGCCAAGUAAGCUUACCUACCUUUUGAAUAUUUGCCACAAUUGAAGGACUGUUGGCCCUUUGUUAUCCUGGAAUGCUUUCCACCUUUUCAUCCUAAUGCACUGACUAGUUGUAAUGUCUGAACAGGAAUUCUCUGGUGAGAAGUGAAAUGAGAGAGAGUGAUCCAUUUUCAGGUUUUUACCUGUGUUUGAGGUAAUAGCUGAUAACUAUUUACUUUCCUGGUGACUUUGGAUAGAGCAAGUGGAGAUACAGAGAAUGUGAAAUUUCAAGUAAGGAGACAAGCAUUGUUCGUAAGAGACAACUGGUACAGUAACUUCUGCCCAGUUACAGUAUGAAUCCUGUAGGAAGAUGAGGUGGUAAAAUCAUAUGAAUCUUUUUACCACAACUAUUUUUUUUCUAACUGUAGAAUAAUUCUCAGCCUGUAAGCCAUCCUAAUAUCUUAGACUCAGGAAUUAAUCCUGUUUAGGAAAAUUUUUCCUUGUUGCUUAUUUUUUGUGCCCAGAGUCUUAUCUGUCUUCUGAUCUUUUUGCUAUACUAUAUACUUAAAGUGUAGUUUUACCUAAAUCAAUAAUUUACUGUUGGUAUUGCUGCCUAUUACAGCCAAAGUGAUUUAUAUAAAAACAAAGUGAGAAAUGCCCAGGUAAUUUGAUUGAGGCAUGUUAGAUUCAUGAAUCUAGAAGGAAGCCAUGGAGCCUUACCUCUCUUCCCUCUGGCUUGGAUGAACACUGGCCUUAUGUUUUCUAUUACAGAACUAGUUGACCUACUCCAGUAGUUCUCCGUCUUGGCUACACAUUAAAAUUGCCUGGGACCCCCUCUAGACAUUUGCGUUUAAUUGGUCUGUUGUGCAUUCUGAGCUUUAAAUGCUCCCUAGAAGAUUCUAAUAUGCAGCGAAAGUUGAGAAUCACUGCCUAGGUUAUCCAUAGUGGUUUUUUUGGCAGGAUAACCUCAAUCCAGUAGUUCUCUUUGACCCAAGUUAUCUUUAUUGAUAUCCCAUACAUUGCUCUCAGUUUAAGCUUACAGUGUGCCAAGGUUCAGGUGGUAAAAUGGAUCAUCCAUUUGUCCUCAAGAGUAAUCCUGAAGGGAGAUACUGCCAUCCAUCCAGUUUUCUUCUCUAUACAAAGUAUGCAUAAGUAAGCAAAACAAAUUUUCCAAGUCCCUUCUCUAGAAUCCUCUUUCCUUUGUAUAUGUAUAGUGGAGAUUUCUCAACUCUGCUAGUUGAAAUACAGCACUUGAAUUUAUUAAAAAAGCCAAGCCCAAACUGCCUACAUGGUGACUUUUAUUUGUAAAAUAAAUAGGUAGCAUUGUUAAAGUUAACAGAGAAAAGGAUCCUGCCUGGGGCAGUGGUGAUACAUUUGAUUAUUUGUCACUUAGCCUACCUUCUAAGUGGAAUUUCAGUGUCUGGUGACUUUCACUUUCCCUGAAUUAUUUCUUUGUGAAUGAAAUGAACUAGCUAAGGCUUCAAUAUUUCUGAAUAUUAUAUGAAAAUGUGAAAUGAGUCUUUCAGCAUCUUUGUUCUAGGAUGUCAAAGACCUAAACGAAUAAUUCCCAAAUGAGGUACCACAUCUUCCAUUCUUCUCACCUCAGGUAGCAAGCAAACCUUUAGUGGCUGUCACAGUUUGUGACUUGCCCCCAUGGCAUCCUCACACAUGGUAAUGGGAAGGGGAGAACUGUUUUAUUCAUUACCUUACAAAGUGAGAACCACUGUUCAGACUAGCUACCAAGUGAUUUCUAACUCAUGAAAGAAAUCUCUAUUUAAGAACAAGUUCAAAUGUAGCAAUCUCUCUUCUGAGACUAUUCUGGACACCACAGAAAAUUUCAUUCAUAUAUUAGCUACAAGUAAUUGAUCGUUUGAGCUUCAAAGAGGUGGUGUGUGCAAGAAAAAAAGUAGGUCAAGGAAAAAGUUGGUUAGUGCAGAGGACUUAAUUAGCAUCAGACUAUGAAAUUUCAUUGAAGCAGCAUUAAGGCCUGGCUGUUUGCUUAGCAUGUAAAUGUUGUAUUGUCAGAGAAAAUGCCUCCGAUGCCUUAGAAAAUUUGCUGAAGGCUUCCUGUUAUUGGGUGGGAUAGAAAAACAAUAGCUUUUUGGAGCCUAGAGACUCCAAAGAGAGUAGCCCUUUAGGGUUUUCAUACUGAAGAACUUUGUAGAGUGCUGUGAAAAAUUGUCAAACUUUAUGCAAAUUAUACUGCACUGGAUUUUAAGAUUUUGUGGGGGAGAGUAGGAGGAGGACAGGGAAGUAAUGGUAAAAGAUAAGUACAUAAACUUUUACUCUCUUUUAAGCAAGGAAUAAAACAAAUAUUCCCUAACAGGAAUUCUCUAUCAGCAUUGUGAAGUUCAGUCAAGUUCUGCCCUAAUGGGUUGGCUUGCUGAUUCCUCUUAAACCUCUACGAAAUCCUUUCUGAAACAGUUCAACUGUUAUCAGUUUGACUACAGUUUCACCAUGCUGCCCCACUCCUCUACCCUCAACAAAAGAAAAGCUUUCCUAAAUUAUAGGCAAAAGAAAUGUGUUCUAUCUCAAUCCAUUAACGUUUUAUCUACUGUGAUCUGUGUUCAGUUUUAGCCCAUUGCAUUAUUUCAUGAUCUUAUAGCAGAACUUAAAUGGAUCUGCCAGUUCAGUCAGGAACCAAUGGCUUCCUUCCCCUUAAGAAAUCUUAAAAUCAGAACUGUCCAUUUUUUGCAUGUCAGUCUAAGUAAAUAAAGGGAGAAGUACAUUGGAACAUCAUUUAGAUUUCCUAGCUCCUCGUAAUUUCUGAGCGGGACUCACUCAUGCUCUGCCUCUGAGAGGAGAAGAGAAGGCUGAAGGUUCAAAGAUAGAAAAGUCAAUGUAGCAGAAAUUUGGUUUCCUUCAGAUGGACAUAGUCUGAAAGAAAUCUAUCUAGCUGUUCUCUAUGGUGCUUAUAUGAUGGGUGACAGCUGCUGUCCCCCAUCUACCUGUCCCUGGCACUGUGCCUUCCCACUGGUCACUGUGAAAAGCAGAUCACACUGGACUCAGAGGCCAGAAUCCAGGACAAGUUCCCCCACCCCUUCUCAUCUUGAGCCCAUCAGUUCUUUGCAUAACUAAUAAUGUAGCAUUUACUUCUCUUUGGAAACUCUGGGGUUUUUUUCCCCCAAGAAAUAGUAAAGCAUUUAAAGGAAACUAGUCAGAAAAUUAGAUUCUGGUAGCUAUCAAUAAAGAGAUCAUAGGAAAAUUUCACUUCCCCUCAGUUGAUAUUGAUUGAUAGCAAGGAUCACCUACGCCGGCCUCUUCCUGAGUUUUUAAAGGCUACCAUAAUAUUUGUAAGCCGCAAACUUAGAUCUACAGCAUUUUUUUUACACUUGCUAAUUGAGGAGGAUUUAUAAUAAAACAGACAAUCAAUUUCUAAAAUGUUCUUAUCCCUGAAAGGGAAAUGGAGUAGAAUAUUUUUAAUUUUAAGAACCUACCGGGCUGUUUUUUCCCUUUGAAAAAACUAACAUUUGAGAUUUAUGUCUUUCAUCUGAAGCAAUUACUCCAUUAAUAAUAGAGAUGCCCAAGAACAGUCAGUCAGUCAGGAUGGCGCUCCUGCGCCACUGAGGGUGCUGGACUGGCUUUGUGCAUCUUAUUUCCUAAGAAUAUCAGUUUUUAUUAUGACCUUAAUUAUAAAUAUCUAUAUAUAGGAAUAGGAUUUUCUCUCACCCCACCCUCCUUUAAUCAUUAUCACUUAAAUGUAAACCAUAACCUCCCCUUAUCCCCUUUUACUGAAAAAAUGCACUUUAAUUCCUAAGGAGAGUGACUGUUCCUGGCCCUGAAGCCAGAUUACUUCAGGAGGAGAGUCAAGGAGGGAGAACUCUUGCCAGACCCUAUGAAAUUAACCAAAUUCCUUAAUGUAAACACAAAUAUAAUGACAUCUAUUUUUAAGCUGCCCCCACUCCUUGCCAAAGGGAAAAAGAAACAACCACCCAAUUGAAAAAGAGUUCAAAAUGCCUAUCCCGAUUUUGGAAGUUUCACCGAGGAAAAAAAUACCUAAUAUUAAGUUAUUUUCUCAGCUACCAAAUUAUCAGAAACUUCUGUGUUGUUUUGUGGGAGGCUAAAUUUUCUGAAUAAAAGUCAAAUGAAAACACAAAGGCUCUAAGAUUAAAGUCCUGAUUUGUGUCAUUUCUAAGUAUCAGAUUUGUUCUCCCUUAAUUUAACAGGUGUUCUCAGUCUCUCCCCCUAUGGAUUCUGACCUUCCCCUGAUGACAAGCCAAUAGUUCUUGGUGGGGUUGCAUGUCUCCUAGAGCCCCAGGAGCCCUGUCGUGUUGGAGGAGGGGGGAGGGCAGGAGGGUGGGCAGAGACUGGGGUUGGGGAAGGGAGAUUCAAAGAAAGAGUGAAAAUAUGGGUUUAUAUAAACAUAUUUAAAGCAGUUUAGCAAAAGCUUUCUCGUUGAACAGCUUUAAGAACAAUGUGAAUGAAAUCUUAGCAACUUGGUUAGCAAUCUGAAAAGUCUAUUAAUGUAUACUUGAAAUUCUGUUUGUAUAAAAAUGCAUUUUCCUCUUUAACACUGUGUAAAAGAACAUUAUGCAUGUGAGUGGUUUGAGAAUUAAAUGGUUUAAUACUCA
Molecule: non-coding RNA, 8562 nt
Organism: Microcebus murinus (gray mouse lemur)
Lineage: Eukaryota; Metazoa; Chordata; Mammalia; Primates; Cheirogaleidae
Source: RefSeq, a predicted model, not a curated record